RNAcentral lists this unclassified non-coding RNA (336 nucleotides) under soil metagenome. Its description in RNAcentral is "partial contains 5.8S ribosomal RNA, internal transcribed spacer 2, and large subunit ribosomal RNA". The stretch from base 1 to 120 matches the Rfam family "5.8S ribosomal RNA", at positions 35 to 154 of the family's 154-position model. The record is from RNAcentral.
GAUGAAGAACGCAGCGAAAUGCGAUACGUAAUGUGAAUUGCAGAAUUCAGUGAAUCAUCGAAUCUUUGAACGCACAUUGCGCCCGCCAGCACUCUGGCGGGCAUGCCUGUUCGAGCGUCAUUUCAACCAUCAAGCCCCAGGCUUGUGUUGGGGACCUGCGGCUGCCGCAGGCCCUGAAAACCAGUGGCGGGCUCGCUGUCACACCGGGCGUAGUAGAUUUUAUCUCGCUCAGGGCGUGCUGCGGGUUCCGGCCGUUAAAAAGCCUUUUUUACCCAAGGUUGACCUCGGAUCAGGUAGGAAGACCCGCUGAACUUAAGCAUAUCAAUAAGCGGAGGA